CGUUGUUGUUAAGUCCUACAAAACACUUUUGGUUUGAUAUGAAUCACAUGAUAAAGUGAAAGUCACAGAUGACACAAUUGUUCAUAGGAUAGCAGCAUACGAACUAAAUGAAAAAGGGACCUGAAACAACCUCAAACAAGUGAAACAACCUGAAACAAGUGAAUACCAGAGAACAGAGGAACAGUCAAUUAUGGACAAUGACACCCAGAAGCUAUUAGAGGACAGCGACUGUUUUUUAAAAAUUGCUGGAAAUAAAUAUUACAUCCUUAUACCUGGGAAGACAUUAGGGUGUCAGGAAACCAUCAGAAAUUUCCUUCAACACACACUGAGUCUAAAGGAGGUGGAGUCUGUGGAGGAGUGUAAUGUUAUAGUGGUUUUGUGCUGUUGUUUCAAGGACAGGAACUGACAUUGAAGCUGUACUGAAUGAACUUAAUACACUUUCAGAAUCAAAACCAGCCAUUUUUAUGGUGCUGCAUCACACAUUUGACCCAGAAAAAACUGUACCAGACAGCAGCAGGUGUGUAAACAGGGAAGAUACACUUACAGUGGAUCUUCUGUUUCAUGAGGAUAAAGGGCUCCUGGAUUGCAUGAAAAACAAUGAAGCACUGGGCAAGAUUAAAAACCGCCUGCAAGUACAGAAGCAUACUGGCAACCGUAAAUCUUCAUUCUUCAACAUGUGCCGGAGGUGCUUGUGCUGUUGCUGUUCGGUAUGUAAAAUGAUAAUCAUCUCAGUUAAAUCAUCCAUAGCAUUUAAGUUCCAUUUUAAUUAAUAACAAAUUGUACUUGUGUUCUUCACAUAGGAACCAGAAGACAACCAGCCGAAUGCUGACUGUUAAUUUGAAUGACCACAUACCAGUGAGUUAGAUUUUUUUCUAAAUUAACAUCUUUACAAAGCAGUGAGUAAGAUUUAAUUAAAACUGUGAUUUUAAAAAGUAAGUAGUAAAUAGUGUCAUUGUAACAUGUGGCAGGAAGGCAGGCAGAGAUAGGGAUUUAAAUGUAUAAGGUUUAUUGUAAUAAUCCCCCAAAAUGGAAAAAAACAUGAUAAUCCCAGACAGGAAACAACUCUUUUAAAGUAAUGAUGUGGGGGAACACAAAAAAGGACCAUGACAGUCAUCAGGUUAACAUGAUUGCUGUCACAUAACUAGAUGACAAUUCUACACCUGUAAGCUUAUAUAGACCAAAACAAAAUCAUC
Non-coding RNA from Misgurnus anguillicaudatus (oriental weatherfish), 1193 nucleotides. The record is from RefSeq and is a predicted model, not a curated record. NCBI's taxonomy places the organism in Eukaryota, Metazoa, Chordata, Actinopteri, Cypriniformes, Cobitidae.